GAGUGCGAUCAUACCAGCACUAAUGCCCCGGAUCCCAUCAGAACUCUGCAGUUAAGCGUGCCUGGGCGAGAGUAGUACUAGGAUGGGUGACCUCCUGGGAAGUCCUCGUGUUGCACCCC
Molecule: ribosomal RNA, 119 nt
Filed under: Gossypium raimondii (Peruvian cotton)
Lineage: Eukaryota; Viridiplantae; Streptophyta; Magnoliopsida; Malvales; Malvaceae
Source: RNAcentral